Tachyglossus aculeatus (Australian echidna) is the source of this 138-nucleotide small nucleolar RNA. The record is from RefSeq and is a predicted model, not a curated record. Lineage: Eukaryota; Metazoa; Chordata; Mammalia; Monotremata; Tachyglossidae.
CCCCUCUCAGGAUCACACCUGGAGAGUUUCCAGCAUUCUACCAGUCUCGGCUAUGGGAGGGAGAAUCAAGCAGAGAUGUAUCCAUUUCAUUACUAGCUUGGGAAAUGGCUAGCGAAUGGAAGGCAAUCUGCUACAAGU